AUUGCCUCAGUAACGGCGAGUGAAGCGGCAAAAGCUCAAAUUUGAAAUCUGGCUCUUUUAGGGUCCGAGUUGUAAUUUGUAGAAGAUGUUUCGGGUGUGGCUCCGGUUUAAGUUCUUUGGAAUAUUACAUCAUAGAGGGUGAGAAUCCCGUAUGUGACCGGCAGCCUUCGCCUAUGUGAAACUCUUUCGACGAGUCGAGUUGUUUGGGAAUGCAGCUCAAAAUGGGAGGUAUAUUUCUUCUAAAGCUAAAUAUUGGCCAGAGACCGAUAGCGCACAAGUAGAGUGAUCGAAAGAUGAAAAGCACUUUGGAAAGAGAGUUAAACAGUACGUGAAAUUGUUGAAAGGGAAGCGCUUGCAACCAGACUUGCACGCAGUUGAUCAUCCGGUGUUCUCACCGGGGCACUCUGCUGCGUUCAGGCCAGCAUCGGUUUUGGUGGUUGGAUAAAGGCCUUGGGAAUGUGGCUUCCUUCGGGGAGUGUUAUAGCCCUCGGUGCAAUGCAGCCUACCGGGACCGAGGACCGCGCUUCGGCUAGGAUGCUGGCGUAAUGGUUGUAAGCGACCCGUCUUGAAACACGGACCAAGGAGUCUAACAUCUAUGCGAGUGUUUGGGUGUUAAACCCAUACGCGUAAUGAAAGUGAACGGAGGUGAGAACCCUUAAGGGUGCAUCAUCGACCGGUCCUGAUGUCUUCGGAUGGAUCUGAGUAAGAGCAUAGCUGUUGGGACCCGAAAGAUGGUGAACUAUGCGUGAAUAGGGUGAAGCCAGAGGAAACUCUGGUGGAGGCUCGCAGCGGUUCUGACGUGCAAAUCGAUCGUCAAAUUUGCGCAUAGGGGCGAAAGACUUAUCGAACCAUUGAACACCUACUAGGUG
This 869-nucleotide ribosomal RNA is filed under the name Rhytismatales sp. RNAcentral describes it as "partial large subunit ribosomal RNA". It matches the Rfam family "Eukaryotic large subunit ribosomal RNA", at positions 74 to 956 of the family's 3401-position model. Lineage: Eukaryota; Fungi; Ascomycota; Leotiomycetes; Rhytismatales. The record is from RNAcentral.